GUUUGAAAAGAGAGUUAAACAGUACGUGAAAUUGCUGAAAGGGAAACGCUUGAAGUCAGUCGCGUCGUCCGGAACUCAGCCUUGCUUUUGCUUGGUGCACUUUCCGGUUGACGGGUCAGCAUCGAUUUUGACCGUCGGAAAAGGGCUGGAGUAAUGUGGCACCCUCGGGUGUGUUAUAGACUCUGGUCGCAUACGGCGGUUGGGAUCGAGGAACGCAGCGCGCCGUAAGGCAGGGGUUCGCCCACUUUCGCGCUUAGGAUGCUGGCAUAAUGGCUUUAAACGACCCGUCUUGAAACACGGACCAAGGAGUCUAACAUACCUGCGAGUGUUUGGGUGGAAAACCCGAGCGCGUAAUGAAAGUGAAAGUUGAGACCCCUGUCGUGGGGGGCAUCGACGCCCGGACCUGACGUUCUCUGAAGGAUCCGCGGUAGAGCAUGUAUGUUGGGACCCGAAAGAUGGUGAACUAUGCCUGAAUAGGGUGAAGCCAGAGGAAACUCUGGUGGAGGCUCGUAGCGAUAUCUGACGUGCAAAUCGAUCGUCAAAUUUGGGUAUAGGGGCGAAAGACUAAUCGAACCAUCUGAGCCCGCC
This 588-nucleotide ribosomal RNA is filed under the name Ganoderma boninense. RNAcentral's name for it is "partial large subunit ribosomal RNA". It matches the Rfam family "Eukaryotic large subunit ribosomal RNA", at positions 374 to 956 of the family's 3401-position model. Lineage: Eukaryota; Fungi; Basidiomycota; Agaricomycetes; Polyporales; Polyporaceae. The record is from RNAcentral.